UACGUAGGGGGCAAGCGUUGUCCGGAAUCAUUGGGCGUAAAGAGCGCGUAGGCGGUCCAGUAAGUCCGCUCUGAAAGCCCGGGGCUCAACCCCGGAACUGCCUUUGAAACUAGAUGACUAGAAUCUUGGAGAGGUCAGUGGAAUUCCGAGUGUAGAGGUGAAAUUCGUAGAUAUUCGGAAGAACACCAGUGGCGAAGGCGACUGACUGGACAAGUAUUGACGCUGAGGUGCGAAAGCGUGGGGAGCAAACAGG
RNAcentral lists this ribosomal RNA (253 nucleotides) under uncultured bacterium. Its description in RNAcentral is "partial 16S ribosomal RNA". It matches the Rfam family "Bacterial small subunit ribosomal RNA", at positions 524 to 776 of the family's 1533-position model. The record is from RNAcentral.